Molecule: long non-coding RNA, 4289 nt
Filed under: Olea europaea subsp. europaea
Lineage: Eukaryota; Viridiplantae; Streptophyta; Magnoliopsida; Lamiales; Oleaceae
Source: RNAcentral
CUUAAGGCAUUCUUUUCUCAUCCCUGCUGAAAUCCAAAUGCUUCAUUUCCCUUCUUUGCAAAUCCCUAACCCUAUCUCGUCUCUCAUAGCAUCCCUCCUAUCUCAUCUAUGGCUUCAGCUUUCCAGAUCUCACAUGUUCAUUGAGAGGGCUUCUGCCUUCCGAUUUCUUUGCCACUCGUCGCUGGUUGCCUCCCUCCUACCUCUUUAUCCCAUUUCUAUAUUUGUCUAUUGCUUUCAUCGUAUCAGUCCGAAUGUAUGUGGAAUUUUACCGCUCGCAGAUUAAGAAAAGUUCAACAUAAAAGUAAGUUAUCCAGUGUAUGCUUACUACUAACUGAGAGAAAAAAAAAAUCAUGUGCUAAGAAACGUUUGAGUUGAAUUUAUGUGGAAGUUUUUCAGAGGUAAUCGGUGUCUGCAAAGAAAUUGGUAUCAUUUGGUGCAUGAGUUGUUCUAUUUGUAAUGAGUGAUGGGGCUCAAGUUUUUAGUUGAUUUUGGAGGUCUAGUUGCUGGAACUAUUGCCCCCCCCCCCCCCCCCCCAUGUUGAAUUUCCUCUGAUGUAUUCGAUAUUUAUUUUUUUAAAAAGUUCCAUAAAUUCUCAACCUUCUUUCCCUCACAAUUGUUCCUUUUGCAUUUUUCUUUUUGGUUUCUUUUAUUCACAUAUUUAUAAUUUUGUUCCAGGAUGUAAUAAUUUCCAUCAUAAAUUAAUUUACGCGUACUUCUAUUUCAGAUAGGAAGUUCUUAACAUCUAAGUUGAUUGUUCCUUUUAUAAUGAAAACUUCCUUUAACAUCUAAGCUGGUUGUUUCAACAGCAUCCUGACUUCGGCAUAUGAAAGUAUUAAAUCUGAUAUUUUAUUGUGUUUUCUGUUUUAGCAGUUACAAUCAAUCAUUAUUUCACAUAUGGACCUGAAUACUAAUUUCCACUAGCCUUAGUAGAUUUUUGUUUAGUAUUGUUAUGUGGUUAGGCCUUCAAAUAUUUGUCCAUCUCGUAUUUGUUCCGUCUUUCCCAUAUGACAACAUUGAUAUAUUGCUGAGGAUAUUUGUAAUACAUUAAGUUUAAAAAAAAAAAAAAAAAAAGGAAAAAAAAAAAAAAAAAAAGGAAAACAAAAAAAAAAUAGUAUAAUGAGGCGGUGGAAUUGGAUUGAUAUCAAUCCAAUUCCAACCAAAACCAAAUUAAUAACAUAUAACACACACAACACACAAAAAAAAGGGUACAGAGAAGGAGAAGAGAGAAAAAGAGAAAGGAAAAAGAGGGGAAAAAAGGGAAAAGAGGAAGAAAAAGAAGAAAAAAAAGGGGAAAAGUCGCCAACGUGUUAGGAAUUAAGUGAGUUAUACUAUUAGGCUUGAAAUUCUCAAUUUUGAAAGGUAAGUAAAAGGUUACUUAUUGAAAGGUUAUGUUUGAUUUUAUAGUUGUUAGAUUAAAUUUAAUUUUAUUGAAGGGGUUAAGUAUAAUAAAUGAUGAAAUUGAGUAAAAUGAAAGAAAAAUUAGUUUCAGUAAUUAAAGAGACUUUAGAAAUCGCCUAAACGUGAAAUAAUUAAGUUUGGGUAUCGUCUAUUUAAUUAUUGAAAUUACUUAAAUUAGUUAAUUGUUGAUUUAAAAAUUAUGUUAUAUUUCAGACGACGAUACAGAUAUCGAGACAUCAUACCAAUCAAGUUGAUUUUGGCGUACAUAGUUCUGUGAGUGAAAAAUUAUAAAUAUUUUUAAAAGUAUUUAUGAUAAAGUAUAUUAUAAAGGUAUGUGCAAAUAUGUGUUCGAUUAUAUGAUUAUUAUGAAAAUCUCUUUUAUUAUAAUACAUGUGGAAUAUAAAGGAUUAUUUAUGGUACAUUUGUGAUUUGGUAUAUAAGACAUGUGAUAUUACGAUUUGUUUGGUAUGAAAGACAUAAUAUUGAGAUCGACCAGAAAAGUAUACAUGAUUAUAUACUUCUUCUAGUUCACAGAGGAGCAUUGGCCAUGUUCUAUCCUAUACGGAGAGUCUUGACCUGACGUUGGUCUUGAUCGUGUACAUAUAGUUCAUAGAGAGGCCUUGAUCGUGUUCUAGAAUUGAUUAUGAGAGGUCUUUGAGACCGACUUUCGUUCACGAAGGGGCCAAAAGCUCGUGGCGAAAGUUUUUAGCUCGAGGGGUGGAUUAUAUAUUUCAGUCCGAGGGUACAUUUUUGGUGGAUUUUUCAGCACAUUUGAUGUGAUGAGAUUAUAGCAUAGUUAUCAACUUAUGUUUAUAUCAUGACUUGAGAUGAUAUUUUACCACGUGAUGUGAAUGUCUCACGUUUUGGCUAUAAUUAUAUGAUGUUAUCUUGCAAGUUAUCAAUGAUAAUAAACUCGAUUUUCGAUAAAAAUGUAUAAAUGAAAAAUUAUAUUUAUUUUGAACUUCUCCGCUCAUUGAGCUAUCAACUCAUAUAUUUUUGUACGUUUUUCCUUACCAGGCAGCAGUUGAGAAUCUGGGCAUCUUUUGGAGUUGAACCUUGCCUUUGGAGUCAGAGCCACACGACAGACUUUGUUAGUAUGACUCACUUCAUAGAACAUGUAGUCAGUGUUUUGGGACGCAUGUUCAUGUCUAGAUAUAAUUUUGCAUCACUUGUAAAUAGUUAUGGGGCUCACUAUGUAUUAUGUAUCAAUAUGUAUAUUUCAUUUUAUUUUUGGUAAAAAUUGAGGUUUCGACUUAUCUUUAUUGUGCUGUGCUAUAGUUUGGGAUUUGUGUAAAAUUGAUCACAGGUUCGUUAGUCUUGUUUACAGGGGAGAUAAUGCCGAAAUUCUGUUAGAAAAAUGAUGUAUAAAAAGUGAUAUAUUGUAUUUGUAGUAGCCUUGAUGGUGGGUCCGACUUUUAGUUGGUAUCUAUCAUCGGCGCAUGUCACGUCCGGAUCUAGUGGUGUUACACGGGGCGGGGUGUGUCAAUAUUCUCCAGUUGAGUUCCAGAUUUGAUUAAUUUCUAGACUCACCAUUUACAGAGGACACUCACACCACUCUUUCAAGUUUUUAUGAAUUGCUUGCAUGCCCACGUAUUUAGUUUUAUCCUUUCCUGAUCUUUAUGCUAUUCAUUCUCAUAUGAUAAACUUUUGCUAACCCUGAAUACAUUCUUGAAUCAUGCGUAUCUAUUGAAAGGACAUCAAAAUGUUGCUGCAAUGAAUUAUGCAUCACUGGGUCAAAGAUAUGAAAACUCUGAUGGAUGUAGUGUUAUAUGUGGGGCUCAAACAGAACUUGAUUUGGCUAAAACUAUGAUGCUUUGCACAGGGUAACGGACUGUUGCCCUUUAUUUCUUUAAUACUUACCUUGCAAUUCUCAGUGUUGUAACAUUAAAACUAUCAACCACAAGGCUUGAAUCAUGCUAAUUAUCUACUUGGAAUGUAUAAUAGCAUCAAAAUGACAGUUACUUCCAUGUUUGUAUUCAUCUGCUUUUUUGAAAUUUUUGCUAUGGCAUUGUCGUUUUCACUCAUCCUUUUUCCAUAUGACGCUAGGUUGCAGUUUUUUUUUCUCAUCCAUUAUAUUCUUAAAUUGAUUUUGGUUCUGUUUUGCAUUGUAUUGAAGACAGUGCAUUAGAUUUGUGUACUUCAACAUGACAUCAUUUUUUUUUUUUGAAAUUUUAAUCAAUUAGAUUUGAAGACUGCAUUAGAUUUGUGUACUUCAUCCAUUAUAAUAAUCAGUAUGUUUUUUUUGAAAUUUUAAUUCAAAUUUUACGUGCUUGUAAAUCAAAUGUUAGUACUUCACAUUGCAAUUAUAAUUUACAAUUCAGUCGCACUUACACUGUUGUUAUCAAUUUUCAUCUUUUUAUGUGUAAAAUAAAUUAUAAAAGGUUACAUGUAAUAUGUUAUUCCCUUUUCUCCCUCUGUGUAAUAAAUUAUGGAGCGCGAAAACUUGUCGUGCAAUCUGACAUUGUUUCAGCUUAUGCAAUGCACUUGUUUGUGCAUGCCACAAUAGUACAUGUACUUUCUUUUAUCAUCUCUUGUUUCUAUAUUGGUUUUAUGUUGUGGUUUCCAGUUCAUAGAAAAUGGCCUAUGGUGAGGAUAUUCAGCCCCUUUUUUGUGACAAUGGAACUGGAAUGGUGAAGGUUCGUAAACAUUUUAAAAUUUUCUAGCCUUCUGUAUUCAAGUUAUUAUGUAAUUAAUUUCAAGGGACUUGUUUAAUGUUACCCCUGCAGGCUGGCUUUGUCGGUGAUGAUGCUCCUGCAGAUUCGUGAUAAACCUUUCUCUAUUUCCAUUGCCAAAAUCCAACAAUAUGCUUAGAUUUCCAUGGAGGUAUUCAUUUAAAUUAAUUUUGUUUCUCGAUAAUAGGUGUUGUUUAAAUGUUGAACUAGCAAUCAAAG